GAUGAACGCUGGCGGCGUGCUUAACACAUGCAAGUCGAACGGAAAGGCCCCUGCUUUCUGGGGUACUCGAGUGGCGAACGGGUGAGUAACACGUGGGUGAUCUGCCCUGCACUUCGGGAUAAGUCUGGGAAACUGGGUCUAAUACCGGAUAGGACCACAUUCUGGAUGGUGUGGUGGAAAGUUUUUCGGUGUGGGAUGAGGUCGCGGCGUAUCAGCGUGUUGGUGGGGUAAUGGUGUACCAAGGCGUCGACGGGUAGUCGGCGUGAGAGGGUGUACGGCCACAUUGGGGGACUGAGAUGGGCCAGAGUCCCACAGGGGGCAGAAGUGGGGGGAAUAGCACAAUAGGGGCGGACGCGAUGCACAGAAGCGGCGUGGGCGGGAACGGGGUUCGGGGUGUGUAAACCUCUCGCUACGGAGAAAGCGUUUUUGUGACGGUAACUGGAGAAGAAGCACCGGCUAACUACGUG
RNAcentral lists this ribosomal RNA (467 nucleotides) under uncultured bacterium. Its description in RNAcentral is "partial 16S ribosomal RNA". It matches the Rfam family "Bacterial small subunit ribosomal RNA", at positions 28 to 507 of the family's 1533-position model. The record is from RNAcentral.